This 253-nucleotide ribosomal RNA is filed under the name uncultured bacterium. RNAcentral describes it as "partial 16S ribosomal RNA". It matches the Rfam family "Bacterial small subunit ribosomal RNA", at positions 524 to 776 of the family's 1533-position model. The record is from RNAcentral.
UACGUAGGCAGCGAGCGUUGUUCGGAAUUACUGGGCGUAAAGAGUGUGUAGGCGGUGCUCUAAGUUCGGUGUGAAAUCUCCCGGCUUAACUGGGAGGGUGCGCCGGAAACCGGAGUGCUCGAGCGUGGGAGAGGAAAGCGGAAUUCCUGGUGUAGCGGUGAAAUGCGUAGAUAUCAGGAGGAACACCUGCGGUGUAGACGGCUUUCUGGACCAUUGCUGACGCUGAGACACGAAAGCGUGGGUAGCAAACAGG